CCUACGGGGUGCAGCAGUGGGGAAUAUUGCACAAUGGGGGAAACCCUGAUGCAGCGACGCCGCGUGAGUGAAGAAGUAAUUCGUUAUGUAAAGCUCUAUCAGCAGGGAAGAAAAUGACGGUACCUGAGUAAGAAGCCCCGGCUAACUACGUGCCAGCAGCCGCGGUAAUACGUAGGGGGCAAGCGUUAUCCGGAUUUACUGGGUGGAAAGGGAGCGUAGACGGCAGUGCAAGUCUGGAGUGAAAGGCGGGGGCUCAACCCCCGGACUGCUCUGGAAACUGUACGGCUGGAGUGCAGGAGAGGUAAGUGGAAUUCCUGGUGUAGCGGUGAAAUGCGUAGAUAUUAGGAGGAACACCAGUGGCGAAGGCGGCUUACUGGACUGUAACUGACGUUGAGGCUCGAAAGCGUGGGGAGCAAACAGGAUUAGAUACCCCAGUAGUC
This 440-nucleotide ribosomal RNA is filed under the name uncultured bacterium. RNAcentral's name for it is "partial 16S ribosomal RNA". It matches the Rfam family "Bacterial small subunit ribosomal RNA", at positions 338 to 795 of the family's 1533-position model. The record is from RNAcentral.